Molecule: ribosomal RNA, 250 nt
Filed under: uncultured bacterium
Lineage: Bacteria
Description: partial 16S ribosomal RNA
Rfam family: Bacterial small subunit ribosomal RNA
Source: RNAcentral
UACGUAGGGUGCGAGCGUUAAUCGGAAUUACUGGGCGUAAAGCGUGCGUAGGCGGUUUCGCAAGUCAGAUGUGAAAUCCCCGGGCUUAACCUGGGAACUGCGUUUGAAACUACGGAGCUAGAGUGUGGCAGAGGGGGGUGGAAUUCCACGUGUAGCAGUGAAAUGCGUAGAUAUGUGGAGGAACACCGAUGGCGAAGGCAGCCCCCUGGGCCGACACUGACGCUCAGGCACGAAAGCGUGGGGAGCAAAC